CGGAACAGUAGAUGGAUCGCAGCGUCGAUUUUCCCCAAUUUUUUUCUGUUACUGGAGCUGCAAUCUUCGGAAGAAAAACCGAUUAGGGGAGUCGACUGCCGGAAUCGGAGGUAGCCGUCGGUAUAAGAGGAUCUAAACCCAAAGCCGUCGAUAUGAGAGGAUCCAUAGCCUGAGAACAUAUUGUUUUUCCAAACCCAAAGCCGGCGGAAAUCAAAACAUAUUGUUUGAUCGGUAUGCAAAGUCUCUCUCAGUCACACAUACAUACAUAUAUCGUAUCCCUGAAAAUGAUUUCGAAGAUUGCAUUAAUUUGUUUUGCUAUUUGGAUUUUGUUAACAUUUCUAAAUUCUGGGGUUUUGCUAUUUGGGGUUUUGCUAUUUGGGUUUUGUUCUGGCAUCGAUUUUUACUGCUUGGACUUUUACUUUCUUCUUAAACGUUGUUGCUAUUGGAUAAUAUGGAUUUUAUUUCAUUGUUGCCGGUAUGUAUUAAUAUUUCAUUCUUUUUAUCACAUUCAGGAAGAAGAACCGUAUAUGCUAACUCUUUUGAUUGAUUUGAAGAUAAUUGCAUUUCAUACUUUUUGUUGAGACCGGAAUGGAUGAAUUAAAUUUAUAUAUGUAUAUAAUAUUAAUUCAACUGUGAUUCUAUCAUUUAUUCUUUCAUUUCUUUUGUGUUUUCAAUUAAGUUUCUACUUUGAAGUUUAUCAACAACUAAAAAUGUACUUGAAGCUUAUCUUUUUUUUUAUCAGACAAUUUUUUUACUAAGCAUGAAUUUCUUUACACAUUUUUCUAUUCUAAUAUGGCAAUUUAGAGGUAGGUGGGUGGAUAAAGAUGAUCAUCUUUUAAGAUGAUCUUAAUCUGAUAUGGCAAUUUAGUGAUUGAUUUAAUUGAAUGAGUGUUUUAGGCUCAUUUUACUCUGAGGCUAACUUAUCUUUUUUUUCGUUGUCAGACAAUUUUUUUACUAAGCAUGAAUUUCUUUACACAUUCUUCUAUUCUAAUAUGGCAAUUUAGAGGUAGGUGGGUGGAUGAAGAUGAUCAUCUUUUAAGAUGAUCUUAAUCUGAUAUGGCAAUUUAGUGAUUAAUUUUAUCGAAUGAGUGUUUUAGGCUCAUUUUACUCUGAGGCUAGCUUAUCUUUGUUUUUCGUUGUCAGACAAUUUCUUUACUAAGCAUGAAUUUCUUUACACAUUCUUCUAUUCUAAUAUGGCAAUUUAGAGGUAGGUGGGUGGAUGAAGAUGAUCAUCUUUUAGGAUGAUCUUAAUCUGAUAUGGCAAUUUAGUGAUUGAUAUAAUCGAAUGAGUGUUUUAGGCUCAUUUUACUUUGAGGCUACUUUAUUGUGAUUUACUUGGUUUCUUUAGUAAAAAGAUAGAAAUCUGAGAGACAAGGAACAGAAGGAUCAUUAAACCAUAUAAGUAUUCUAACAAUUAAAAUCAUAUAUUAUAUAAUGUAUUGUUUGUAGGAAUGUGUGGCCUUUUCUUGUGACUGAUUUGCAGCAGUUCAAGAAGGAUUGAGCAUUGAUUUUCUUGAUGAAUACUUUAUGGAACUUGCUUAAUAUAUGAAAUUUGAAACUUUUUGGAUGAAUGUGUGGCCUUUUUUGCAUAUCAUUAAAUCAUCCUUUGUAAUCCAAAUCAAUAAAAUAAAUAAAAAGGAAAAAGAGGGAAACCCCCGCGUUG
This 1663-nucleotide long non-coding RNA is filed under the name Panax ginseng (ginseng). RNAcentral describes it as "long non-coding RNA (PGIN_LNC009093)". Lineage: Eukaryota; Viridiplantae; Streptophyta; Magnoliopsida; Apiales; Araliaceae. The record is from RNAcentral.